This is a non-coding RNA of Oryza sativa Japonica Group (Japanese rice), 2645 nucleotides long. NCBI's taxonomy places the organism in Eukaryota, Viridiplantae, Streptophyta, Magnoliopsida, Poales, Poaceae. The record is from RefSeq and is a predicted model, not a curated record.
UCCAGUAAACCUCUCAUACUAUGAUCUCUCUCCCCUUCCCCUUCUCACGUUGAGCUCGAGCGGCGGGCAUGGCGGGCGGCGGUGUCGCGCGGGGGUGUGCAGAUGAUCCUGCGGGCGCCGCUAGAGGCGGGACCGCCGCCGGCGUUGGGCCGGGCGCAACGGCGGGAGAGUCGACGCCGCGGUGGAUUGGAUACGGGGACGACGGCGCGGCGCGGCUUCGGCUGGAAUUCGGCCUCGAUCCUGGGCGAGGUUACGCGUGGUGGAUUCGGGGACUGUUAUCCCGUGAAAUCGUCUAGCGAUGAAAGGAUUCCUUCAGAAAUUCCUCCAAUCCAAACGGGACCAGCCAUCUCCGAUUGAUAGGGAUUAUCCACGAUCGAAUUUGUCUGCUCCGAAAUUCCCUGAGAAGUAGUGCAGAGUACAGUCCAUACAUGUUCAUGUUCAUGUUCAUAUUAUUAAAGGAUAGGAGUACUCUUUCAAAGUUUCAAUGAUUUGUUUUUGAAGAUCUUUGGCUUCAUCCAAAAUCUUUUCAAUAGCCCAAUAGCCCAAUUUUCUUCUUUUUUUUUUCUUCUAUAGAAUAGCAGAUGAAAGUUGAAACAGUGGAGGAUGUUACAGGGUGAAGCACCGCACCACCACCACCGCAAGCAAUCGGCAUGGACAAAAUAUAUCUACACCAUGUACAGCAAAUUACAAUCUCAGCUUGGCUCAUUGAUAGGAUUCAGAGCAAAGUGGCUCGAUUUCUAUGGGCAGACCUCUCUGGAACUCCACGUACGGGUAUGCCAUCGGAAUGUCAUCGCCAUCGAUUCUCCAUCUGCACAGGUUUUCAAGAAACGAAAGAAACGAAGAACGAUGAUCAGCCUUUCUCUGGCAUGGAUAUUCACAUGAGAAGUCUGUAUACCUUCACUAGUUCCAGAUCUUGAGCUGACUGCCCAAGGAAAUACACAACCAUGGAGAUCAAGAGUGAGGUGGUCUCAUAUCCUCCCAGUAAGGAAUCCAGCACAAAGCUCACUUUCUCCUCAUCAGAGAGCUCAUUGCUUGAAAGCAGCACAUCAAGGAAAUCACCCUUGUUGCUGGAGCCAGCAUUCCUCCUCUCCUCAAUAAUACCCUUCACAGUGCUUGAUAUCCUCGCUCUGGCCUGUGAGGAUUCGCGGACAAAAGGAUGAAGUUAUUAUGCUUUGGCAUAGGGCGUCCCUGGGAUGUAGAGAGGGAAAGAGAUGAGACCCUUCAUGAAGGCGAGGAAAUCUUCAAGUAUCAUGGCAGUGACCGGCUCCUCUGGUGAUAGCCCCAGCACCUGCUUCACUAUUACACUGAAUGCAAACUGUGGUUCUCAAGGAAAGAGAGCACACCAGAGAGAGAAAAAAAAAGAAAAGGUAAAAAAGACCAUGGUAAGUCAAAGUGACCUUGGGACAAAGAUUCAUGCAGCAGCAAGUAACAACAUGAUGAUGAUGGUAUGUAGCUAACAUGUGCAAAGUUUUCCCUCCCUUGUUUCAAGGGAUCAUGUCCUUGUGGUGAUAUGGCUCUGGUUUCAAGUUAGUACACUUGCUAACCUUUCUUGCCUCCUCGCAGAAGGCGAUGACAUUGACCAUCCCCUUGUCCUUGCUCUUGCCAUGCCAUGACCCAACUAUAUGCAGUGCAAUCUUCUCAAUGUCGCCAAGGUAGCUGGGCUUGAGCUUUGUGGAGGUGACCAGUGCUAGAGCAAGGUUCCUGAGCCUCUUGUGGUCCUCCCCUAGGACCACUAACAUGGAGGACUUGCCCAGAAUGCCAUGAAUUGGCCUGGGGUAGCUGCACUGAAACAGCCUCUCCUCAUUCUGAAGGAUGAAGUGGUUCAGCUCCUGGUCACAGGACACUAUGGUGGGGGUGCAGAACAGAUGGGACUUAAACACCCUCCCAUACCUGCAUCAUCAUCAUCACACCAUCAUCAGUGUUACUACCACCAUGCAUGCUAGCUAGUUAAGUGUUGUGCAACCUUUACAUUCCUUUUCUCUCGCUUGUUCAUCGGAAGAAAAGGUUUGCACAACUCUUUAACAAGAUGCUAAACACUGUCCAAUUCAUGUUACAGCACCCCCCUCAUCAGGGAGGAAAAAAAAGGGCGUGAUAAAGCUGCUGGGACAGGACAGCAGCAUUACCUUGUGCUGUCACAUGAAAUAAUGGUACAGUACUUAAUUGCAUGUGAAGUGAAUUGGCUGCAUGCAUAUACUGUGCCAGUAGUAGCUUUUAUCAAGGAGGGCUAUGAGCCUACAGCCUAGGACUAGGAGGAUGGUCCAAUGCAGAGUAGCUAGCAUCUAGGCUGCUGCUGCUGCUCAAGGUGCAGUCAAACACGCAGGUAGAGAGAGAAAUGCAUUGGGGUAGUACAUGCACAGCCAGGUGCAGAUCGAUGCAUGGGACAUCGGUGAUAAUUAAGCUCUCUCUGAAUCUGAUGAAGCUUAUGCGCGCGCGCGCACACACCUUGCCUUUGCAAUCUGUUCUUGGGGAUCCCCUGCUUCGAUGACUCAUAUCUGUGUCAUUUCCUAAAGCCCUUCUUUUUCAUGACAAAAAUUACAGCAACAGGGGUCGAUUUGGCCUUGUUCACUUCAGUUUGUCUGUGUUUUUUAUGGUGACUUGUGUGUGCUUUGUCAUAAUUCUGAAGAUGUUGUAUAGUGUACAACAUA